GUACACUCCUGCGGGAGGCAGCAGUGGGGAAUUUUGGACAAUGGGGGCAACCCUGAUCCAGCAAUGCCGCGUGAGUGAAGAAGGCCUUCGGGUUGUAAAGCUCUUUUGUCAGGGAAGAAACGGUGGUGGCGAAUAACUACUACUAAUGACGGUACCUGAAGAAUAAGCACCGGCUAACUACGUGCCAGCAGCCGCGGUAAUACGUAGGGUGCAAGCGUUAAUCGGAAUUACUGGGCGUAAAGCGUGCGCAGGCGGUUGUGUAAGUCAGAUGUGAAAUCCCCGGGCUCAACCUGGGAAUUGCAUUUGAGACUGCACGGCUAGAGUGUGUCAGAGGGGGGUAGAAUUCCACGUGUAGCAGUGAAAUGCGUAGAUAUGUGGAGGAAUACCGAUGGCGAAGGCAGCCCCCUGGGAUAACACUGACGCUCAUGCACGAAAGCGUGGGGAGCAAACAGGAUUAGAUACCCGUGUAGUCCCAUGAU
RNAcentral lists this ribosomal RNA (479 nucleotides) under uncultured organism. Its description in RNAcentral is "partial 16S ribosomal RNA". It matches the Rfam family "Bacterial small subunit ribosomal RNA", at positions 331 to 801 of the family's 1533-position model. The record is from RNAcentral.